This is an RNA transcript of Cucumis melo (muskmelon), 2405 nucleotides long. It is a transcript of the gene named sucrose transport protein SUC8-like, with no coding region annotated. The record is from RefSeq and is a predicted model, not a curated record. The transcript is spliced from 5 exons. Lineage: Eukaryota; Viridiplantae; Streptophyta; Magnoliopsida; Cucurbitales; Cucurbitaceae.
GUGCAGAAGGGAUUUAGGAAAAGAAAACCCAAAAAAAAAAAAAAAAAAAAAAUCAAUAGUAUUGAUUUUGGAACUGUGAUUUCCUUUUUCCUUUCUGAAAAAAAAAAACAGAAAAAGAGAAACACAAACACAACAAAAAAAAAAAAAGUUGUAUUAAAAAUCCUGAUUAGGCACCAUCAUGGAGCAUGGAGGUGUUGUGUCGAAGGGGACGGUGUCAGACUCUUCAAGUUCGUACCAAAAAAUAAUAAUAGUUGCAGCUAUUGCAGCUGGAGUCCAAUUUGGUUGGGCUCUACAGCUUUCAUUGCUAACACCUUACGUACAACAACUUGGAGUUUCACAUACAUGGUCAGCUUUCAUAUGGCUUUGCGGACCAUUAUCGGGGCUUAUUGUGCAACCUACUGUCGGGUACUACAGUGAUCGUUGCACCUCUAGGUUUGGUCGUCGUCGGCCGUUCAUUGUUGCUGGAGCUAGUUUUGUGGCAACUGCAGUUUUCCUCAUUGGCUUUGCUGCAGACAUUGGGCAUGCUGUGGGUGAUGAGCUUUCUAAACCCAUAAAACCAAGAGCCGUUGCCAUCUUUGUGGUUGGAUUUUGGGUUCUUGAUGUUGCAAACAACAUGCUCCAAGGCCCUUGUAGAGCUCUGUUGGCAGAUAUGUCGUGUAAUAACCACAAGAAGAUGAGAAUGGCUAAUGGUUUUUUCUCAUUCUUCAUGGGGGUAGGGAAUGUUUUGGGGUACGCAGCUGGGUCCAAUAACAAACUCCAUAAAUUCCUCCCCUUCACACUAACCGAUGCAUGUGACACUUACUGCGCCAACCUCAAAACAUGCUUCUUGAUCGACAUUGUAUUCCUUCUCCUCAUUACCACGUUCGCUGUGUUGACCGUGACCGAGAAGCCAUUUGAGCGAUUGGAGAUUGACGAAGAAGCAACACCCUUUUUCGGGAAAUUAUUUGGGGCACUCAAGAAGUUGGAGAAGCCCAUGUGGAUUUUGUUGUUGGUAACAGCCUUGAACUGGAUCGGUUGGUUCCCAUUUAUCAUGUAUGAUACUGACUGGAUGGGUUUGGAAGUGUACGGAGGAAAGCCAAAGGGAAGUCCUGAAGAAGUCAAGUUCUAUGACCGUGGUGUUCGUGCUGGGGCCCUUGGGUUGAUGAUAAACUCAUUUGUUUUAGGAUUUUCAGCUUUGGCAAUUGAGCCAAUAAGCCGUAUUCUAGGAGGCCUCAGAUGGUGGUGGGGAGUUGUGAACAUUAUAUUUACAGUUUGCAUGGGAUCCACCGUCGUUGUUACGAAGGUUGCUCAGCGUUGGAGGGCCGUUAAUGGUUUGCUCCCUCCUCCAAUAAACGUCAGGGCCGGAGCAUUUUCGAUCUUUGCGGUAUUGGGUAUUCCAUUGUCAGUCACUUUUAGUGUUCCAUUUGCCCUUGCGUCCAUCUUUUCUUCAGAAUCGGAUGCGGGUCAAGGCCUCUCCUUGGGAAUUCUCAACCUCUUCAUCGUCAUUCCACAGUUUAUCGUAUCCUCAGUUAGUGGGCCAUUAGAUGCUGCUUUCGGAGGAGGAAACUUACCGGCAUUUGUAAUGGGUGGAAUUGCUUCUUUUGCAAGUGCAAUGUGUGCAAUGUUUGUCCUCCCCGAUCCACCACCUCAAUCCGAAGCCUCCUUAACAAUGGCCGGUGUCCAUCGUGCCCAGUUGUUGUCGUCCCUCGUGCCCAGCCACCGCCAUCUCUAUCAUUGUUGUGCAUUCGACGUCCACAUCUGUCUCAAGUUCGCACGUUCAGAUCUUUGACAUUCGCACACUGCCUCGCCACCACCGCCGCACGUCCAUAUCUCUCUCGAUAUGUUUUUGCUCUUGAGCGUCAAUCUCGUUGUUUAUUGAACAAGACCCAUCCACAUCGGCCCUCUCCACACUAACAUCUGGCAAGGAAUUUGCUUAAUGAGUUGCCUGAGAAUAUUGGUAGCUUACAACGCCUCAUUCGAUUAAAUGUAUUUCAAAACAAAAUUUCAUCAAUUCCACCUUCAAUAAAGGAUUCUUGUGCGCUUGCAGAGUUAUAUAUGGGGUGGUGUUCAAUCCAUAAACCGACAUUAAAGGUCAAAUUUCUUCUAGUGGUGCAUUCAUAGUAUUGUAUCUUCUUGGGUUACCUUUGCUUUGUAGUUCAUGAAUUGGGUUUCAACACUUAUAAUUUGAAGAACGGGGCACUGUAGAAUUGACGAAAAAGGAAGGGGAAAUGCUCUACUGCUAUGUGAAAAGAAAUGGAUAACAUUCACUAGGAAGUAGGAUUAAUUGCUAGAGCUGCGGAAGUAGGUUCGUAGUGCUGAAAAUACUAAAAUAUGUUAACAUGUUAAUUGAGCUUUUGUUAGAUGAACAUCUUGCUGAGUAAAAAAGGCUUGUCUUUGGCUGGUGGUGCAUCCUCAUGUUUUACUAA